AUUGAAAAGAUAGUCGGGUGAACGAUUUAUUUUAAUAGGAAAUCUUGUUUUAUUAAGUUUAUUAAUAGAAAUAUCUAGGAAUUUAAGUAGGGUAGAGUAAAGGAAAGUUUUUUAUUAAAGUUAUAGGGGAGAGUAUUGUGUGAGAAAGGUGAAAUAUUUUAUAGGGUUGUAAUAAAAGUAAAGUAGAAAUGAAUAUUUGUACCUUGUGUAUAAGGGUUAUUUUAUUUUAAUUAAUUAUAAUUAAAGAUCUCGAAAGAAAGAGAGUUAGGUUAGAUAGGAAGAGUUUUUAUAGCAGAAAAAUUUAUAAUUGUAGCCUGGUAGUGAUAUGUUAAUCGAGCUUUUUGAUAUCUAGUUUUUUUUGGAAAUAAAUUUAAUUUAAUGUUUAUAUUAAAGGGGAUAUAAGGGGUAGGAGCAGGAGGGUAAAGCUUUUUGUUUUAAUUUAAUAACUAUUAUAGGAGUGUAAAGAUAUAUAGAUUGAGCUAGGCUUAAGAGUAGCUUUGCUAUAAGAAUGUUAUAGUUGAGAUUUAUAAUAAUUUAUUUUUUUUAUUUUUUAGUAGAGGUACAAAAAGUUAUUUUAAAGUAGUUGAAGAAUAUUCAGAAUUAAUAUAUUAGUAUAUAGUAGUAUAGAUGUAUAAUUAUAAAUUAUAAAAUGAUUUUAGUUAAAAAUUAUGGUUAAAUUAAGGAAUUCGGCAAUAUUUACUUUCGCCUGUUUAUCAAAAACAUGUCUGUAUGGGAGAUUUAUAGAGUCUAACCUGCCCACUGGAGAACCUAAAGGGCCGCGGUAUUUUGACCGUGCAAAGGUAGCAUAAUCACUAGUUUUUUAAUUGAAGGCUUGAAUGAAGGGUUGGACGAAAAGUAAGCUGUCUUUUUUAAAAGAGUAGAAUUUAACUUUUAAGUGAGAGGGCUUAAAUGUUUUAGAGGGACGAUAAGACCCUAUAAAGUUUAACGACUGUAGAUUUAAUAAAAAGUAGGGUAAAUAUUAUGUAUUAUUAGGGAGUAAGUUGUUUUGCUGGGGCGGUAGGAAUAAAAAUAAAUUAACUGUUCUUUAGUUAUAUUUCAGUAGUUGCUGUAGUUUAUGAUCCUUAUUAGAGAUUAAAGAGUAAAUUACUUUAGGGAUAACAGCGUAAUUUUUUUUGAGAGUUCUUAUCGACAAAAAAGUUUGUGACCUCGAUGUUGAAUUAAGAGUUCUUUAUAAUGUAGCGGUUAUAAAAAGAAGGUCUGUUCGACCUUUAAAUUUUUACAUGAUUUGAGUUCAGACCGGUGUGAGCCAGGUUGGUUUCUAUCUUUUAGGAAGAAAAUAAUUACUUUAGUACGAAAGGAUUAGGUAGUUAAAAUAUUUUUAUAAAAUAUUAUAGGGUCGAUAAAAAAGAGAGGUCUUUGACGUUAAUUUCCGAAAUUAGUAUUU
This 1405-nucleotide ribosomal RNA is filed under the name Engaewa walpolea. RNAcentral describes it as "16S ribosomal RNA". The stretch from base 661 to 1405 matches the Rfam family "Archaeal large subunit ribosomal RNA", at positions 1423 to 2849 of the family's 2987-position model. Lineage: Eukaryota; Metazoa; Arthropoda; Malacostraca; Decapoda; Parastacidae. The record is from RNAcentral.